GAGAGCCGUAUACCUGGAGACAGGUACGUACGGUUCGGGGGAGAGUUCUUGGAAACCUACCAUAGUCAAUAUGGCAAGGCGCCGGGUUCUUAUCCUAC
This is a non-coding RNA of Chryseobacterium gleum ATCC 35910, 98 nucleotides long. The record is from Rfam. Lineage: Bacteria; Pseudomonadati; Bacteroidota; Flavobacteriia; Flavobacteriales; Weeksellaceae.